RNAcentral lists this microRNA precursor (62 nucleotides) under Limulus polyphemus (Atlantic horseshoe crab). Its description in RNAcentral is "Lpo-Mir-5735-P2_pre stem-loop". Lineage: Eukaryota; Metazoa; Arthropoda; Merostomata; Xiphosura; Limulidae. The record is from RNAcentral.
ACCUUUCUCUUGUUGUCUACUGUCCUGUGUUCAGAAUGCAGUGGACAACAAGAUAAUGGUGU